This 253-nucleotide ribosomal RNA is filed under the name uncultured bacterium. RNAcentral describes it as "partial 16S ribosomal RNA". It matches the Rfam family "Bacterial small subunit ribosomal RNA", at positions 524 to 776 of the family's 1533-position model. The record is from RNAcentral.
UACAGAGGGCUCAAGCGUUGUUCGGAUUCAUUGGGCGUAAAGGGUGCGUAGGCGGCGCGGUAAGUCGGGUGUGAAAUCUCGGAGCUUAACUCCGAAACUGCAUUCGAUACUGCCGUGCUUGAGGACUGGAGAGGAGACUGGAAUUUACGGUGUAGCGGUGAAAUGCGUAGAUAUCGUAAGGAAGACCAGUGGCGAAGGCGGGUCUCUGGACAGUUCCUGACGCUGAGGCACGAAGGCCAGGGGAGCAAACGGG